CACGCCGUAAACGAUGGGUACUAGGUGUAGGGGGUAUAGACUCCCCCUGUGCCGUCGCAAACGCAAUAAGUACCCCGCCUGGGGAGUACGGUCGCAAGACUAAAACUCAAAGGAAUUGACGGGGGCCCGCACAAGCAGCGGAGCAUGUGGUUUAAUUCGAGGCAACGCGAAGAACCUUACCUGGACUUGACAUCUCCUGAAUUACCCUUAAUCGGGGAAGCCCUUCGGGGCAGGAAGACAGGUGG
RNAcentral lists this ribosomal RNA (245 nucleotides) under uncultured Proteiniclasticum sp. RNAcentral describes it as "partial 16S ribosomal RNA". It matches the Rfam family "Bacterial small subunit ribosomal RNA", at positions 796 to 1041 of the family's 1533-position model. The record is from RNAcentral. Lineage: Bacteria; Bacillati; Bacillota; Clostridia; Eubacteriales; Clostridiaceae.